UUCCAUACAAGUUAUUGCAAAUGAAUACAAGUGAGGCAGACCUUACACAUAUACACAUACACAUACACACACACACACACACACACACACACACACACACACACACACACACACAGAUCUGACUGGGGAUAGGAUAGGUUAAUACACUUGAGGUGGUAAACAGGUUAUUGUUUAUUCUCUUGCCAGAAGGACUAUGUAUAUCUAGACUAGGCUACUUAUGAAUGUUUAUGAAUAUUCUUUAUUUAUUUUUUAUUUAUUUUUCAAAGAUCAUAUACAGGGCUAAUUAAAUAACAUCCGAGGCUUUAGCCCCGAAUAAAACAGCAUAGGGACGCCACUGCCUUAAGCUAACGUAUUUAUCCACGAUAGCAGACACUUAAAAUAAUAGUUAUAAUUACAUGCAACUUAUUUAUCUCAACGAAAUUUCAAAUAGUAUACUAGAUACAUACAAAUAUAUAUAAAGGAAAAUAUACAAAAAUUAAAUGGCUAAAGUUAAUGCAAAAUUAUGAUGUAGUCGAGUACAAACAGUCUACUCUCAUUGCAGUCUUUGGAAGUUAAUUCUGACUGAUAUACUGUUAUCUUCCACAGCAUGACAUAACACAUCUCAGGAAGUGGUAGUGCUCCACUUUUUCUUCUGAAGCAGAUGUGCUGUGAAUUCCAAUAUUAACACAACCGUAACAAUGACGUACAAAAACUAUUUGUGUGUGUGUGUGUGUGUGUGUGUGUGUGUGUGUGUGUGUGUGUGUGUGUGUGUGUGUGUGUGUGUGUG
This is a long non-coding RNA of Gadus macrocephalus (Pacific cod), 766 nucleotides long. RefSeq lists it as uncharacterized. NCBI's taxonomy places the organism in Eukaryota, Metazoa, Chordata, Actinopteri, Gadiformes, Gadidae. The record is from RefSeq and is a predicted model, not a curated record. The transcript has 2 exons.